GACUGCUUGGCGCAAUGGUAGCGCGCGGUCCUCCUAUUAUCUCACCGGUUAUGGGAGUGAAAGACUGAGGUUGCGGGUUCGAGUCCCGUGGUGGUCG
RNAcentral lists this transfer RNA (97 nucleotides) under Hypoxylon cercidicola. Its description in RNAcentral is "tRNA-Arg". It matches the Rfam family "tRNA". From Rfam's summary of the family: Transfer RNA (tRNA) molecules are approximately 80 nucleotides in length. Lineage: Eukaryota; Fungi; Ascomycota; Sordariomycetes; Xylariales; Hypoxylaceae. The record is from RNAcentral.